This 1177-nucleotide long non-coding RNA is filed under the name Paramuricea clavata. The record is from RNAcentral. Lineage: Eukaryota; Metazoa; Cnidaria; Anthozoa; Malacalcyonacea; Plexauridae.
GGCAUUACUUAGAUUGUAAAAUAUUGACACCAAAAACAUCCAUUUUUAUAUAAAUAUAUUUCUUACUUGCAAGUUCAAAAUCCGAAGCAGAGACUUCGUUAGUUUUGUCAACUUGACAAUUCGCUGGGAUAAUAUCUUAAUCUCUAUGAGCCUUAAUCUCUUUGAAAUAAUCCUUAAUCUCUUUGAAAUAAUCCUUAAUCUCUUUGAUAUAAUCCUUUAUUUCUUUGAGAUAAUCCUUUAUCUCUUUGAGAUAAUCAUUUAUCUCUUUGAGAUAAUCCUUGAUCUCUUUGAGAUAAUCCUUAAUCUCUUUGAGAUAAUCCUUAAUCUCUUUGAGAUAAUCUUAAUCUCUUUAGGAUAAUCCUUGAUCUAUGUAUGAUCAUUCCCCCAUCUCUUUGUGAUAAUAUAUUUGGCCUUAAUCUCUUAUAAUUCAGACUCAGAUACAGAAUCCUUAAUCUCUCUGAGAUAAUCCUAAAUCACUAUAGGAUCCUAAUUUUCUAUGAUCUUCCCUUUUCCUCAUGUUUUUUUGUGAUAAUACACAGCUAUUUCAAUUAAGGCUGUCCCCGAGCAAAGCGGAAAAGUCGAAUACGAGCGCGAAAGGCUGCUGGGAAUCGCUAAAAAAUUAAUGAAUUUUUUAGCGAUUCCUAGCAGUCUUUCGCGCUCGUAUUCGACUUUUCCGCUUUGCUCGUGGACAACCUUAAUUGAAAUAGCUGUAUACCUUAAUCUCCUACAAUUCCGACUCAGAGGUAGAUACAUCACUACUUUUGUCGUGUAACUUAACAAUUUGUUGUGAUAAUACCUUAAUCUCCUUUAAGGCUGUUAAAGCCUCUUCGGCAUCUGUUGGCUUGAUACUUUCGGAUUCCUCAUUAUCCAUAAUGUUCUCCUGUGUCCUGUUCUUUUCGAGAGAUUGUUUAGCGAUUGAUGCUUUCACUGGUUUCAAAAGGCGGUUUCCCUUUGUGGAAUUGUCUCNNNNNNNNNNNNNNNNNNNNUAAUCUGAGGUCUUAUCCCAGCUUAUUAGUACCUAGGUGUAGAACUGAACGUUUUUCGAACAGUUUCAUUCCUGCUGCGUCUCGUGCUUAUAAUAAUAAGUAAACUUUAGAUUAUUAUCGUUAUUUUUAUCUAACUUACCUAUUUUUACCUGUAAACAUAGAAUAGAUUAAAUACCUAUGUUCUUAUACCC